RNAcentral lists this ribosomal RNA (253 nucleotides) under uncultured bacterium. RNAcentral describes it as "partial 16S ribosomal RNA". It matches the Rfam family "Bacterial small subunit ribosomal RNA", at positions 524 to 776 of the family's 1533-position model. The record is from RNAcentral.
UACGUAGGGUGCGAGCGUUAAUCGGAAUUACUGGGCGUAAAGCGUGCGCAGGCGGUUCGUUAAGUCAGAUGUGAAAGCCCCGGGCUCAACCUGGGAACUGCAUUUGAAACUGGCGGGCUUGAGUGUGGCAGAGGGGGGUGGAAUUCCGCGUGUAGCAGUGAAAUGCGUAGAGAUGCGGAGGAACACCGAUGGCGAAGGCAGCCCCCUGGGCCAACACUGACGCUCAGGCACGAAAGCGCGGGGAGCAAACAGG